This 272-nucleotide long non-coding RNA is filed under the name Bos taurus (domestic cattle). Its description in RNAcentral is "long non-coding RNA NONBTAT000348". Lineage: Eukaryota; Metazoa; Chordata; Mammalia; Artiodactyla; Bovidae. The record is from RNAcentral.
CAGUGAGACCCUAGAGACCCUAAUUGGUUUCAGCUCUAGCAUACUAAACCUCAAGAACCUGCUCUUUCGUUCCUUCUUGGCUACAGUCUAGUCACUUUGAUAAAAAUAAAAUUGUAGGUUCUCUGAGAUUCAUAUGUUGCUAUUAAAUCUACUUAUUUGUAUCGAAGUAAGAAAUUUUCUUUUAAGAAUUUGAAUAUUUUCAUAGACAUCUUUCUGGUCACAUCAUGGCCGAGAAAUGCCGUUUCUGUGGCCAGAACUCUGGAUUAGUACUC